Molecule: long non-coding RNA, 1706 nt
Organism: Rhincodon typus (whale shark)
Lineage: Eukaryota; Metazoa; Chordata; Chondrichthyes; Orectolobiformes; Rhincodontidae
Exons: 3
Source: RefSeq, a predicted model, not a curated record
UGCCUGCACAGCCAGUACACAAAUAUCCCAGUUCUAUUCAAACUUAUCACUAAAAGUUGUUUCUAAUGUUCAAAGGGUAUUUCAAGCUCACUGUCUCUCUUUGUUACACGGUGACAUUGAUUCAGGAGCUGGAGGGCCGUCAUGUCCAAACAUAUAGGCUGAGCAGUCGCCUCUCCCCAGCUGCCAUUGCUGCCUCAGAGAAGGGACUGAUUACAACUCCACAUGUGACAUCUGUGACAUCACCAGGGAUCACGGCUCGUGGUUUGGGAACCCCUGGCGUUAGAGACAGUUCCACCUAUCACCUGUCACAACAACCUACCACAUCCUGCACAAAUCUCCAAACAACCUAUCUAUCCAACCAUUCAAGCACCAUGUGCCCUGCAUAUGGCAGAGUCUGAAGAUCACAUAUUGGACUUAUCAGCCAUUUCAGAACUCACUGAACUGGAUUUGAAAUAUUGACUCAAGGGAAACAACUUCAGGUGGUUUGGAAAGAAGGUCACUACUUGGUCUCUAAGAAAGUGUAAAUAAAGAGAAGGUAUACAGUAAUGAAUUAUUGGAAAGCAAGGGCUGAUAUUCAAGCACUUUCAAAAAAAAAUAGACAAUACUAAUAUGGACAUGUGAGCUCUUUCUGUUUAGCUAUAAAUAUAUUUGAAGCUAUUCCCACUGUCUCACAACUUUCAUAAACAGCAAUGAAUAGAAGAUCAAUAAAAAAAGAUUCAGUGAAACAUUUUGCUGAAGCAAGAAACAAUAUGGAUGAAAAGAGACUUUAAUGCUAACAAAAUGAGCUGUGAAUCUUAUGAUGUCUCAUUCUAUCUCAGCACGACUUCACUCUGAAUAAGCAGAAAACAAAUAAAAAGUUAACAAAACCAUUCUAUUGUAAUUAAAGUGCUGAUCUUUUAAAAUCAUGUACAUAUCAGAUACUGCAAGGAUAGGCAUUGUAUCUCCUUGUUCUUAUUGUCUUGGCUCAUAAGUUGCAACUGGCACUGUUACAUCAUGGCCUGUGUAAUCAUGAUAAUGUUAAGAAAAUAGACUGGUGAUUGCAGUCUUUGGCUCAAUAAGAAUAUAACUAAUUGCACUCCUACCUAGGAUACUCCUUUUUGUACUGUAUUCAUUUUUCUAAACCACCUUCAAAAAUUUUGACACAAAGAUUUUACUUUUUCUUACCUAUAGAUUACUUUACUUAAUCGCAUACUCCUAUAUAGCUUAAUUCUCCUAAUGGACAUGCUACCAUUAUAAUGGAGCUCAAUUCUUUUAGGAAUGAAGAGUAGUGGUUUUCCACCCACAGAAAUACUCAUGUGAAUUAAUGUCUCAGCUACCCAAUACAUUAACUGGUGGGCAGGUCUUUUUGUACUGAUUGUAAUGUUUUGUAAUUGGCAGUAAUAACAAACUUGCCAAAACAAAUUGCUACAAUCUUAGCUCUAAUUAUACGACUAACCUAAUGUUAAAAGGGUUGUAUGAGAAACAUUAAUCAAGACUAUGCAGAAUAAAGUGCCAUUUUAUAUUACAUAUUGGAAGAAGUGUCAUUAUUUAACACACUGAAAUGUGUCUGCUCUUCAAGUAAGAGUGCAAGUUAAUCAGCUCCUUCAAUUUCAACAGCUGUCAUUAUCUCUGAAGUUGUUUUAUUUACACUGACCUUGACCUUUUGUUAUAUUUGUGUCAACAAACUGGUUAUCACCCAAAUAAACGGGCUAUUACAUUUCAGCUCA